CUUGAGAGGGAACUGGUUAGGGUUUUGAGGGAAGAAAGGGGACGAGUGGUCGGAAGCGGCAAGCUACAUGUGGAUACGAAAACCAACCUGAGGGGAUCAUGAUGCUCUCUAUUCAAUAGUUUUCAAUCUGAAUUUUCAUUAUCUUGCUGCUCCCAUUCUCCCCUUUCUCUCUCUCUCUUUCGGCGGAGUUCCCAUAGCUCACACCUUGGACCUCGUGAUGAUGCGCUUCACAUCUGAAGAACGAACCCGAACAGGAUGUUGAUGAAUCGUGUUGUGGAACUCUGAUUCGUUUGUUGGCGUGCUUCGUGAUAGGUUUAAUUUCGCUGAAAGAACAUGUGAUCUUUUCUACCUUCCAGGGUUUUGUUUGUGGUUGUUUUAGUAUUUUGCAUUCUUGAUGGUGAAAUUUGGAGACUAAUUAAUUUGGUUGCAUGCGAUGAGGAAACUGAAAACUUAAAAAUUUCGAUUGGAGGAA
Neltuma alba is the source of this 472-nucleotide long non-coding RNA. RefSeq lists it as uncharacterized. Lineage: Eukaryota; Viridiplantae; Streptophyta; Magnoliopsida; Fabales; Fabaceae. The record is from RefSeq and is a predicted model, not a curated record. The transcript is spliced from 2 exons.